CUCCUUAUUUCCCCAGUAUCAGCAGCCCUUGUCAUCUCAUCUAGGACUGCGGGCGAAGUGAUGAGAUCUUCUAAGGGCUGUUUGUAUCGGACAAUCUCCAGACACUUUACAGACAUAAUGAGCUAUGUAACUUCCAGUAACUACGGUUAUCACGGACGUUAUCUGACUUUAUAGGAGGGGAAAUUCUGUGCUGCAUGGGGAGGCAAUGUUGGGAAAUGCUCCGUGCAAGGAGCAGGGCCUGGGCAAGCUGCACCCCUUAGCAUGGCAGUGACCCCUCAGAGCACAGGGAGAAGGUUUUAAACAGGAUUUGGAAUGGGGAACACCACCAGAGUCAUGCACUGCUGAUAAACAUCCACUAAGGUAGCUCGGUAUGGAUUUGGAGAGAAACUGUUCCUGUUAGAGCCGUGGAUCGAGCCCCUCAGGUGCCUCCUGCCCUGGAAGCGAUGCCCAUCUUGCCUGACCCAUCCAAACCCGAGUCCUGGGUCCUCUGCACUUCACCUCAUUCAAACUCCAGAUCCUCCUGGCGCCUACCUUAGCACUGCCCUCCACUUCCUGUAGUCACCAGGAAAGCACCACGAUUAGAUAAUCGUUACAAGGCACCGAGGCAAUGCCGUAAUUUUCCUGAUACUCUGGAACUCGUGAGCGUGACUCCUCAGCAGCUUGAGGCUGCGUGAUUCAGCCACUCAUGGCUGGCUUCUCGAAUAGCAGGAAUAGCAGCCAUUCCCUGCACA
Non-coding RNA from Anas platyrhynchos (mallard), 731 nucleotides. The record is from RefSeq and is a predicted model, not a curated record. NCBI's taxonomy places the organism in Eukaryota, Metazoa, Chordata, Aves, Anseriformes, Anatidae.